Molecule: ribosomal RNA, 494 nt
Filed under: uncultured bacterium
Lineage: Bacteria
Description: partial 16S ribosomal RNA
Rfam family: Bacterial small subunit ribosomal RNA
Source: RNAcentral
GACGAACGCUGGCGGCGUGCUUAACACAUGCAAGUCGAACGGUGAAGCGCCUUCCUUUUUGGUGGUUGUGGAUGAGUGGCGAACUGGUGAGUAACACGUGAGUAACCUGCCCCCUUCUUCUGGAUAACCGCAUGAAAGUGUGGCUACUACGUGAUAUCCUUGGUCUGUCGCAUGAUGGGUCUGGGAUAGAUUUUGUUUCGGCGGGGGAUGGGCUCGGGUCCUAUCAGCUUGUUGGUGGGGUGAUGGCCUACCAAGGCGGUGAUGGGUAGCCGGCCGGGGAGAGUGGACGGUCAGAGUGGGACAGAGACACCACACAGACUCGUGCGGGAGGCAGAGGGGGGGUAUAUUGCACAAUGGGAGCAAGACUGAGGCAGCGACGGCGCGUGAGGGAGGGAGGCGGUCCGGUUGUGACCGUCUUUAGCGAGUGAAGCAGGCCUGCCUCGUUUGUGGAUGGAUUGACGGUAGCUGGAUAAGAAGCGCCGGCUAACUACGUG